This 603-nucleotide ribosomal RNA is filed under the name Talaromyces verruculosus. RNAcentral's name for it is "eukaryotic LSU rRNA". The stretch from base 233 to 386 matches the Rfam family "5.8S ribosomal RNA". Lineage: Eukaryota; Fungi; Ascomycota; Eurotiomycetes; Eurotiales; Trichocomaceae. The record is from RNAcentral.
GGAAGUAAAAGUCGUAACAAGGUUUCCGUAGGUGAACCUGCGGAAGGAUCAUUACCGAGUGCGGGCCCUCGCGGCCCAACCUCCCACCCUUGUCUCUAUACACCUGUUGCUUUGGCGGGCCCACCGGGGCCACCUGGUCGCCGGGGGACGCACGUCUCCGGGCCCGCGCCCGCCGAAGCGCUCUGUGAACCCUGAUGAAGAUGGGCUGUCUGAGUACUGUGAAAAUUGUCAAAACUUUCAACAAUGGAUCUCUUGGUUCCGGCAUCGAUGAAGAACGCAGCGAAAUGCGAUAAGUAAUGUGAAUUGCAGAAUUCCGUGAAUCAUCGAAUCUUUGAACGCACAUUGCGCCCCCUGGCAUUCCGGGGGGCAUGCCUGUCCGAGCGUCAUUUCUGCCCUCAAGCACGGCUUGUGUGUUGGGUGUGGUCCCCCCGGGGACCUGCCCGAAAGGCAGCGGCGACGUCCGUCUGGUCCUCGAGCGUAUGGGGCUCUGUCACUCGCUCGGGAAGGACCUGCGGGGGUUGGUCACCACCAUGUUUUACCACGGUUGACCUCGGAUCAGGUAGGAGUUACCCGCUGAACUUAAGCAUAUCAAUAAGCGGAGGA